Molecule: non-coding RNA, 2467 nt
Organism: Jatropha curcas
Lineage: Eukaryota; Viridiplantae; Streptophyta; Magnoliopsida; Malpighiales; Euphorbiaceae
Source: RefSeq, a predicted model, not a curated record
AAGGCGUCAGUGUGACAACAAAACCAAACUUUGGCGUAAAUCACAGUGAGAAAAAAAAUGCACUCAAUCUCCUUUGUUAGGCUGCAAAUGGAAUCUUUAUAGAGGCCACCAAGAGAAUAGUCAAAAUGGGUGCCCACUCCUCUUCUCUCUCCCUCUCUACCGCUAAUAUCACUACUGAUUAUUCGUCUCUUUUUCCUCGCAAAUCAAAACCAAAACCAAAACCAAACCCAAACUCCACCUUCAGUCCCACCAUUGAGAUCAAUCUUCUAAAACCCACUUGCAGUUUUAUAUCCCAAAAUUCGUGCUUAAAUAAUUCUACUUGUCCUUCUUCAAAGAUUGUGCCUUUGAGGUGUGCAAAAGUUGGAUUCAUGGAGACCCAAGAAGGAAGUACUUCAAAAUCCAUAAUUGAAUUUCAUAGCAUUGAUGAAGAAUUGGUUCAAAAGAUAGUUUAUGAUGCUCUUGUCUGGUGCUCUCUCCAUGGCCUUGUUGUUGGUGACAAAAGUGUUCAGAGAUCAGGAGCAGUACCUGGUGUGGGCAUGGUACAUGCUCCAUUUGCCUUGCUGCCUGCAACAUUCCCGGAAAGUCACUGGAAUUUAGCUUGUGAGGUUGCCCCCAUAUUCAAUGAACUUGUCGAUCGUGUGAGUUUGGAUGGAAAAUUUCUUCAAGACUCAUUGUCGAGAACAAAGAAAGUAGAUGUUUUUACAUCAAGGCUUUUAGAUAUUCAUUCCAAGAUGCUAGAAAUAAACAAAUUUGAGGAUAUACGCUUGGGUUUACAUCGCUCUGAUUAUAUGCUUGAUGAAGAAACUAAAUCACUCCUCCAAAUAGAGCUAAAUACAAUUUCUGCAUCAUUUCCUGGCCUCAGUUGUGUCAUUAGUGAGCUUCACAGGAGCUUGCUUAAGCAUUAUGGGGAACACCUUGCAUUAGAUUCCAAAAGAAUACCAACCAAUGCUGCUGCCAAUCAGUUUGCAGAGGCUCUGGCUAGAGCUUGGUCUGAGUAUAACAACCCUAGGGCUGUGGUUAUGGUUGUUGUUCAGCCUCAGGAGCACAACAUGUAUGACCAACAUUGGCUUUGUGCUAUAUUGAAGGAAAAAUAUAAUGUAACAGCUAUUCGGAAAACAUUGGCAGAAAUUGAUGAAGAAGGGGAACUUCUACCAGAUGGAACACUCCUUGUAGAUCAUCAAGCUAUUGCAGUAGCCUAUUUUAGGGCUGGAUAUGCACCUACCGAUUUUCCUUCAGAGGCAGAAUGGAGAGCUAGGCUACUUGUGGAGCAGUCAUUAGCUAUCAAGUGUCCAUCAAUAUCUUAUCAUUUGGCAGGCACCAAGAAGAUUCAACAAGAACUUGCGAAACCUAAUGUGCUUGAGAGAUUUCUUGAUAACAAGGAGGACACUGCCAAGCUGCGGAAAUGCUUUGCUGGUUUGUGGAGUUUGGAUGAAUCAGAUAUUAUCAAAAGAGCCAUUGAAAGACCUGAGUUAUUUGUGAUGAAGCCCCAACGAGAAGGCGGAGGGAACAAUAUCUAUGGUGAUGAUGUGAAGGAAAACCUUCUAAGGUUGCAGAGAGAAGGGAGUGAAGAAGACGCAGCUUACAUCCUCAUGCAACGUAUAUUUCCAGCUGUUUCCCCUGCACUUUUAGUGCGUAAUGGCAUUUGUCAUAAAGAUCAUGCAAUAUCGGAACUUGGAAUAUACAGUGCUUACUUGAGGAACAAGGACAAAGUGAUUAUAAAUGACAAGAGUGGAUACUUGGUGCGGACAAAGGUAGCAUCAUCGAAUGAAGGUGGAGUUGCAGCUGGGUUUGCAGUACUGGAUAGUGUAUACUUGAACUAAUGGAGCAGCUUUAAUUUUCUUCAAGUUUUUACCUUAAUACUUCUCAAAAGGUCAGGUUGACAUGGAGAUUUUUAGCAAUAGAAGUUGUAUUGGUUCCUCAAGAUGCAGAGUUGAAUUGUGAAUGUCCUGAUGCAAAAAUCUGAAGGUUUUUGGAAAAAUGAAGACCACUUGGUAUUCAGUUUCAAUCCAGAAUAUGAAAAGGGAUACUUUAACCAGCAAUUCAAGAAAUACAGAACCAUUUCAUUUACAUUGAAAAAAGUAUUGACAACAGCCUUGCAAUCACUAUUACUACAGUACAAGCUAUUUUGCGAUUGAAAGACAAAAAUUGAAGUUAUAGAAGUAUCCAUACUUGAUAUCCAUCCUCAUGUAUAUACUCUUGUACUAUCUUCUUCCCAUCCGAGUUCUCGAGCUCGUUUCUCCCACUCUGCUUGUAAAGAGGCUUUCCUGGCAUCCAUUACUAAUGCCCUGGUGUGCUCCAGUGAAUCAUUAGCCACUCUUCUCUGCAAAGCAAUUUCCUCUGACAGUAAAGCUACAAUAUCCUUCUCCAUUUCUUCAUGUAUAUCGGGAUCAUCGUUACUACAGUCUGGAAAUAUAGUAGAAAACAAUUUGACAAUGAAAUAAAAGAAUCAAUCUAUAAUUUUCUCUCU